Molecule: transfer RNA, 99 nt
Organism: Volvox carteri f. nagariensis
Lineage: Eukaryota; Viridiplantae; Chlorophyta; Chlorophyceae; Chlamydomonadales; Volvocaceae
Rfam family: tRNA
About the family: Transfer RNA (tRNA) molecules are approximately 80 nucleotides in length. Their secondary structure includes four short double-helical elements and three loops (D, anti-codon, and T loops).
Source: Rfam
GGGGUCGUAGCUCAAAUGGUAGAGCGCCCGCUUAGCAUGCGAUGCUGAGCGCCGCAGAUGAUAUGCGGGAGGUAGGGGGAUCGAUGCCCUCCGACUCCA